GACUUUAAAAUAAUAUUUCAUAAUUUAUUUAGUAUUUUUAAUAAUUAAAAACUAAUUUUUCUAAUUUUUAAAUCAUUUUUCGAAAAAUCAAAAAUUAAAAUAAUUAAAACUGUCGCUAAAGGCCCCUAUAGUGACAGAAGUAUCGCUAUAGGUGUUCUUGAGCCUACCCAGAUCUUCAUAAGGCAGAACCGAGUGGCCUACUUUGACCGUGAAUAACUCUCUCAUCUUAACGAAUUUGGACAAUCUAUAAAUUGGGUCUUGUAGAGGAAAUACAAGACUACAAGAUCCAACAAUCAUAACCUCUAAACAAACAUCAGAUCUGGGAUAAAUCAGCCAUCAAAGUAGCUACCAAAGCUGUUCUUCACGAAGAACAGUUCGAGGUGCCUACUUUGGACCUCUAUAACUUGAUGAUCGUGUAACGUUUAUGUGAUCUAUCAAUUCCAGUGUGUAG
Molecule: long non-coding RNA, 451 nt
Filed under: Panax ginseng (ginseng)
Lineage: Eukaryota; Viridiplantae; Streptophyta; Magnoliopsida; Apiales; Araliaceae
Description: long non-coding RNA (PGIN_LNC007019)
Source: RNAcentral